This 1418-nucleotide ribosomal RNA is filed under the name uncultured bacterium. Its description in RNAcentral is "bacterial SSU rRNA". The stretch from base 701 to 1418 matches the Rfam family "Bacterial small subunit ribosomal RNA", at positions 1 to 733 of the family's 1533-position model. The record is from RNAcentral.
AGUUUGAUCCAGGCUCAGGACGAACGCUGGCGGUAUGCUUAACACAUGCAAGUCGAACGAGAAGGAAGAGCUUGCUCUUCCUGAAAGUGGCGAACGGGUGAGUAACGCGUGGGUAACCUACCCCUUGGAAAGGAAUAGCCUCGGGAAACUGGGAGUAAUGCCUUAUAAGAUACGUUUGUCGCAUGGCAUUUGUAUUAAACGCUCCGGCGCCAUAGGAUGGACCCGCGUCCCAUUAGCUAGUUGGUGAGAUAACAGCUCACCAAGGCCACGAUGGGUAACCGGUCUGAGAGGGCGAACGGUCACACUGGAACUGAGACACGGUCCAGACUCCUACGGGAGGCAGCAGUGGGGAAUAUUGCGCAAUGGGGGCAACCCUGACGCAGCAAUACCGCGUGAGUGAAGAAGGUUUUCGGAUCGUAAAGCUCUGUUAUUGGGGAAGAAAAAAAGACGGUACCCAAGAAGAAAGUUCCGGCUAACUACGUGCCAGCAGCCGCGGUAAUACGUAGGGAACAAGCGUUGUCCGGAUUUACUGGGCGUAAAGGGCACGCAGGCGGUUUUUUAAGUCAGAUGUGAAAGGCCACAGCUCAACUGUGGACAUGCAUUUGAAACUGAAAGACUUGAGUAUUGGAGAGGCAAGUGGAAUUCCUAGUGUAGCGGUGAAAUGCGUAGAUAUUAGGAGGAACACCGGUGGCGAAGGCGGCUUGCUGGAAGUUUGAUCCAGGCUCAGGACGAACGCUGGCGGUAUGCUUAACACAUGCAAGUCGAACGAGAAGGAAGAGCUUGCUCUUCCUGAAAGUGGCGAACGGGUGAGUAACGCGUGGGUAACCUACCCCUUGGAAAGGAAUAGCCUCGGGAAACUGGGAGUAAUGCCUUAUAAGAUACGUUUGUCGCAUGGCAUUUGUAUUAAACGCUCCGGCGCCAUAGGAUGGACCCGCGUCCCAUUAGCUAGUUGGUGAGAUAACAGCUCACCAAGGCCACGAUGGGUAACCGGUCUGAGAGGGCGAACGGUCACACUGGAACUGAGACACGGUCCAGACUCCUACGGGAGGCAGCAGUGGGGAAUAUUGCGCAAUGGGGGCAACCCUGACGCAGCAAUACCGCGUGAGUGAAGAAGGUUUUCGGAUCGUAAAGCUCUGUUAUUGGGGAAGAAAAAAAGACGGUACCCAAGAAGAAAGUUCCGGCUAACUACGUGCCAGCAGCCGCGGUAAUACGUAGGGAACAAGCGUUGUCCGGAUUUACUGGGCGUAAAGGGCACGCAGGCGGUUUUUUAAGUCAGAUGUGAAAGGCCACAGCUCAACUGUGGACAUGCAUUUGAAACUGAAAGACUUGAGUAUUGGAGAGGCAAGUGGAAUUCCUAGUGUAGCGGUGAAAUGCGUAGAUAUUAGGAGGAACACCGGUGGCGAAGGCGGCUUGCUGGA